RNAcentral lists this non-coding RNA (26 nucleotides) under Homo sapiens (human). The record is from RNAcentral. Lineage: Eukaryota; Metazoa; Chordata; Mammalia; Primates; Hominidae.
UGCAAGCUGCUCUGACACUUGGGCCA